UAAUUAGGUCCGCUUAAAUUAACCUUCAGAUUUCCCUAGGAUGAUUGAAUUGGAUGAAUAUGCAUCGCAAACAAAUUAUUCCUAACAAGUUCUCUAUAUGAACAACAUGAUAAAGACACAAGUUAGAAUCAUUACGUUCUUUGGAAAUCAUAAGCAUCGAUAAGGCAUUUGUAACUAUGAAAAGCAUGAUACUUUUGCCAGGAAUCUACUUAACACGAUCGUGACUAGCGACCUUCACUACUUGCGAAUAUAAAUUCAUAACGAUUAGGUGAAACAAAUUUGUAUCCUAGCACCAAAUUCAAACAUGCAAAUCAAGCGUGCACUCUCAAUCAACAUGCAAGAAUAAGUUCUAAAUCCAACGGUUAAGCAAAUUGUAUUCACAACUUAUGCAACGAUAAUUGGAAGUAAUCAACUUAUUUCACAUAUAUAAUCAUGGUUUUGAAUACACCCUUAGCCAAAACAAAAUUAGCCAA
This 473-nucleotide long non-coding RNA is filed under the name Malus domestica (apple). RNAcentral describes it as "long non-coding RNA (MDOM_LNC019122)". The record is from RNAcentral. Lineage: Eukaryota; Viridiplantae; Streptophyta; Magnoliopsida; Rosales; Rosaceae.